Monodelphis domestica (gray short-tailed opossum) is the source of this 300-nucleotide unclassified non-coding RNA. It matches the Rfam family "Metazoan signal recognition particle RNA". From Rfam's summary of the family: The signal recognition particle (SRP) is a universally conserved ribonucleoprotein. It is involved in the co-translational targeting of proteins to membranes. The eukaryotic SRP consists of a 300-nucleotide 7S RNA and six proteins: SRPs 72, 68, 54, 19, 14, and 9. The record is from Ensembl. NCBI's taxonomy places the organism in Eukaryota, Metazoa, Chordata, Mammalia, Didelphimorphia, Didelphidae.
GUUGGGCAUAGUAGUCCAUGCCCAUAAUCCCUACUACUAGGGAGGUUGAGGAUGUUGGAUUGCUUGAGCUCAAGAGUUCUGAGCUACAGUAGAGCUAAAGUCAAUUAGGUGUCUGCACCAAGACAGCAACGAUAUGGUGAUCCUUGGGAGCAAGGGACUAUCAGUUUGUUUAAGAAGAAGAAAACCAGCUCAGAUUGGAAACAGAGCAGGCCAACACUUCCACACCAAUUAGCAGUGGGAUUGACCCAAUGAAUUGCCACUGCAUUUUCAAUGUGGGUAAGAUAGAACACACACACACAC